AAUCAACGCUGGCGGCGUGCCUCAGACAUGCAAGUCGAACGAUUAAAGCUCUCUUCGGAGAGUGCAUAAAGUGGCGCACGGGUGAGUAACACGUAAGUAAUCUACCUUCGAGUGGGGAAUAACGUCCGGAAACGGACGCUAAUACCGCAUAACGCAGCGGCAUCGCAAGAUGACAGUUGUUAAAGAUUUAUCGCUUGAAGAGGAGCUUGCGGCAGAUUAGCUUGUUGGUAAGGUAACGGCUUACCAAGGCUACGAUCUGUAACCGGUCUAAGAGGACGGUCGGUCACACUGACACUGAAUAACGGGUCAGACUCCUACGGGAGGCAGCAGUCGGGGAAUUUUGGGCAAUGGGGGAAACCCUGACCCAGCAACGCCGCGUGAAGGAUGAAGUAUUUCGGUAUGUAAACUUCGAAAGAAUAGGAAGAAUUAAUGACGUACUAUUUAUAAGGUCCGGCUAACUACGUGCCAGCCGCCG
RNAcentral lists this ribosomal RNA (475 nucleotides) under uncultured bacterium. RNAcentral describes it as "bacterial SSU rRNA". It matches the Rfam family "Bacterial small subunit ribosomal RNA", at positions 32 to 517 of the family's 1533-position model. The record is from RNAcentral.